GUAGUCGUGGCCGAGUGGUUAAGGCGAUGGACUUGAAAUCCAUUGGGGUCUCCCCACGCAGGUUUGAAUCCUGCCAACUACA
This is a non-coding RNA of Danio rerio (zebrafish), 82 nucleotides long. Lineage: Eukaryota; Metazoa; Chordata; Actinopteri; Cypriniformes; Danionidae. The record is from Rfam.